Molecule: ribosomal RNA, 504 nt
Filed under: uncultured bacterium
Lineage: Bacteria
Description: partial 16S ribosomal RNA
Rfam family: Bacterial small subunit ribosomal RNA
Source: RNAcentral
GACGAACGCUGGCGGCGUGCCUAAUACAUGCAAGUCGAACGCACAGUUUAUACCGUAGCUUGCUACACCAUAAACUGUGAGUUGGGAACGGGUGAGUAACGCGUAGGUAACCUGCCUGGUAGCGGGGGAUAACUAUUGUAAACGAUAGCUAAUACCGCAUCAUAUUGAUUAUUGCAUGAUAAUUGAUUGAAAGAUGCUAUUGCAUCACUACCAGAUGGACCUGCGUUGUAUUAGCUAGUAGGUGAGGUAACGGCUCACCUAGGCGACGAUACAUAGCCGACCUGAGAGGGUGAUCGGCCACACUGGGACUGAGACACGGCCCAGACUCCUACGGGAGGCAGCAGUAGGGAAUCUUCGGCAAUGGACGAAAGUCUGACCGAGCAACGCCGCGUGAGUGAAGAAGGUUUUCGGAUCGUAAAGCUCUGUUGUAAGAGAAGAACGGGUGUGAGAGUGGACAGUUCACAAUGGGCCGGUAUCGUCCAGAAAGGGACGGCUAACUACGUG